This 10335-nucleotide long non-coding RNA is filed under the name Aquilegia coerulea. Its description in RNAcentral is "long non-coding RNA (ACOE_LNC002103)". Lineage: Eukaryota; Viridiplantae; Streptophyta; Magnoliopsida; Ranunculales; Ranunculaceae. The record is from RNAcentral.
AAAUAUUUAAGGAUGCAAUCUUCUUCUCAUUUAAAAAAAAAUGUUCUUUUAAAAGUGACAUUACAAAUUGUACAAAAAAGUAUUCUUAACCAUCGAAAUCCAUAGUUGAUACUACACAAAAUAGAUAGAUGGAGAAAAUUUAAAAUCAAUUGAAGAUAAUUAGGAUCCUGAAAGGCACCUUCAUAUCAAAUAGUGGUACAACCUUCACUUCUUCAAUGAAAAGUUGUUUUCUUGCUUUUCGGCACAUCUGUUGGAUCACCAAUUGAAACAGAAAACAAAUCACCUAAGGAAACUCAUACUUGAAGGGAAUUUGAUGGAGUACUCUGUAAUUAAAGAGAAUAAUAAUUAAAAGAAAAGCUUGAUGUAUAUCUGAAGGCUUUAAAUGUCACGAAUCUAAUAUCUAAAAAUUGGCAAAAAGAGAGAAUUUAUAUAAUUUCCCUCAAGAUGCCAAUGAAAGGAAAAAAGAAUCAAGAUAAUAUCUAAAUAACAUAUGCACAAGGUAAAUAAUCCAUAACCAUUAAAUAAAAUUCUUUAACACAAAUUAUUUGAACACCAACUAGUUUUCAUAAAUAAUCCAAAAACUCCAAAUACUAAAUUAAAUAACUCCUACUGAGGUAUUGUAUUCCUCAAUAAAUAUUAAUCCAUGAAUUUAAAUAAACUAGAUCUAUCAUAAAAGAUAACAACUAAGAUCUCAAACUCCUUCCCGAACCAGUGGAUCCACACGAGCCUCCUGGUGUUACUCUUUAUCGUGCUCAACUCGAUGCUCUCCUCCGCCUACGCUCCAUAAGGACACGUACCCACGUGCAAAAUAAGCAACAUAGGUCAGCAAAUAAUGCUGGUAUGAGUAGACAAGGGUAGGGAACUCCAUUCCCAAAAUAACAGGACUAUGCUGUCCUUCUAUCUAUAUUUAUUUUAUUUAAUAAUUAAAUAAACUUUAAUUAAAAUAAUGCAUGACUGAGUCGCACAUCUUAUUAGGAUAGGUCCAUCCCUGCAAGAAAUGUUAAUUAACCUAUCCUCCUAUAAAAUGGUAUUAAUAUAAUAAUAUAUAAUUUAUGGCAUCUCAAGGUCUCAACAUUAUAUCUCAACCACUAUAAGCCAAUCAUCACAUCCAAACAACACUUCACAACCUAUACCAAAUCACUAAUACACCUCCCACAGGAUGAACUCCACACAUUUGACCAUGGUCAAAAACCUCUACGUGGAAACCAAAACCCAAGUGGAUGCUCACUUGCAAGUUUUGGCUAGCUUCAACAUAUGCCUAACUCAUGAUCUCUAAUAGCUCCUUUGAGCUUUCUAAUGUCUGUAGGAUCAGUUUCGUAGGCUAAGCCAAUUGUCAACCCGAAGGCUAAGCCGUCAAGGGUGAUAUCUAAUUUUCUUAACUUAAUUCCACAUGUGUGGCAAAUGUACUAAUGCUUGGGUGACUACUAAAAUAUUUAAAAUUCAAUCCAUAAAGCAAUCACACAACACUUCAAACAAUCAAAUUCUAAGUACAUUUUGUACUCCUUCCUCAAUUUUCAAAUUAAAUAUAUAUAUCGUCCUUGAUGUCGAGCCAAUCCAAAGCAUUUAUCAAUUACUUCCUCAAAUAUCAGAAGUAAUCACAUAAUAUACAUGUUUCUCAAUAGCCAUUAAAAUCAUUAGCAGCCUAAUAUUUUAUUAAAACCAUAUAUCACAAUAUGCAUAUAUCAAUACAACUAAAGUCCGAAAAAUCAGAAACUGGCAAAUCCAUAUGGGUGUGAUGUACUAUUAAUUUAAAUUCCAAUAACAAACUUUUCAAAUAAAUCUUUUUCUUUAAAAUAAUAUAAACAGAAAAUAAAAUCACAAAGAGAAUCAAAACCCGCAACGCGACAGUCUUGUAUGUACAGUACAAUCAAAACCAAAAUACAUUUGUACAUCAAACCCAUUUUUUUUCUUUUUUGUAUAAAAGUGUGAAUCUAACCAUGUUAUUGUCCAUGAGUCAAAGUAUAUAAUAAAAUCAGAAAAAAAUAAAUAGAUUUAACAUCAGACCAUAUUAACAUCACCCGGUAGUAGUAAAGCCCCCGGUCGGUGAUGAAUGCGGUGUGUUCCUGAUCUUCUUCGUGAAGUGGAAUCUGGUUGUAACCGGAGUAUGCGUCCAUGAAGGACAAUCUUUGAUAGCCGGUGGUGGCGUCUACCAUGUCCGUGAUCCUAGGGAGUGGAUAUGGAUGCACAGGACAUACUUUGUUAAGAUUAGUAAAAUCGAUGCAAACUCGAAUCUUACCAUUCUUCUUCGGGACAGCCACGAUGUUGGAAACCCAGGUAGGGUAGAUGACCGGCUUGAUGAAGUUGACUGAGAGUAGCCGAUCGACUUCUUCGUUGACUGCCAGUUUCCGAUCUGGUGCCAUUCGCCUUGGUUUCUGUUUGACCGGUUUGUACUGAGGAUCAAUGUCUAGCUUAUCGCAGGCGGCCGCAAAGUCUAUUCCUGGCAUCUCGUUGAUACUCCAAGCGAAGACGUGGUGAUUCCGCCGGAGCAGAGUGAUCAUGGAAUCCUUCUCUGCCUCCGGUAGACCGAAAGAGAUGUAAGUUGUCUUGUGGGACUCCGAUCCCACAAUAACUUCCUCCAGCUCGUCGACCGGUGGUAAUAUCCCGGCUUUUGUGUCUGGCCUCCCCUUGGCAGACUUGCCGGGAGCUGGUUGCUAUUGAUGAGAGUCUGUCAGGAAGAUAGUGUUCCCCUUGGUUUCGGAGAUGGACUUUCCUUUGACAGCAUCGAGAUGGAACUUGAAUGUCGUCCCUUGGUCUCCCUUGACUCUGCAAACUCCGUUGGGAGUCGGGAAUUUGAGGCUCUGGUGGAAGGUGGACACUAUGGCUUUCAUCUGAUGAAUCCAGUCCCUUCCCAGAAUAACGUUGUAGCAGGAGGGGGAGUCGACUAGCAAGAAGUCUAUCCCGACGGUGUUGAAUCCCACCGUGAUUGGUAGGUGGACUCGCCAGGAGGACUGUGCUGGCUCCCCGUUGAAUCCAUAGAUAGGAGUCUCGUCAGAUUCGAUGAGACCCUUAGAUAGCUCCAUAGUUUUGUAGGCGCAUGAGAACAUAACAAUGGAGGUGUUGUCGGCAUCGACCAUGACUCGCCGGACCCGGUAGACUCCAAUCCAUGUUGUGAUGAUCAGGGCAUCAUUGUGCGGAUAAUGCACGCCCCUCUCAUCUUCUUCGGUGAAUGUCAAACCUCCAGGGACAAUGGACUCAGUAUUCGCCCCUUCAUUGAAGUUGAGCUGUCCAACUUCAUGGACAUGUCCUAUCCACCGGAGCUUUUCCCGAGCACAAUUCUUUCUUUCUGUCUUAGAAGAACCGGGUGUCUGUACAUGGCAGACAUAUACAAUUCGAUCUCCAGUUUACACCUGUUCGACUGCUCCGGUCUGUACCAUGUCAGGGAUGAGGUCGGCAUCGACCAGGCACUGCAUUUCAUACUUCAAUGACCUGUAGUUCUUCAGCUCGUGACCAUAAUCGUUGUGAUGAUCACACUUCUUGGACUUAUCUCUUCUGCCCUCCGGGUCUGCCGGAAGGGGGGCAGGUUUGUUGAGCAACCCUCUGUUCUUGAUCUUUUUGAAUACUUCCUCGAGGGGGAAUCUCAAGGGAGUGAACUCCCUUUCCUUGCGUUCGCCCCCGGUAGGCAUCUCUGACCGGCGGUCGGGUUGUCGGGCCGGCGCUUUCCCCUUCCUGUCCGUGUUCCUGUCAGGGGCUUUUACUUCUUUGCGAUCCCUGCCGGAGCUUUCUUCCUUUGCCUUCUGCGGCUUCUCGGAGGUUUGGCCUCCAGCAAGUCUCUUUCUUCUAGCUUUUAGGUCGUCCUCCUCCUGAGUAUACCUUUCCACUUUCUCGAGCAAGGCUGAAACAGAUGAGGGUGGCUUCCUUGCCAAUGACCGAUACAAUUCCUCAUGGUUGCUAUUCAAGGCAUACUUGAAAGCUUGAAUAACGACGCUGUCAGAUGUGUCCUGUACCUCAGAUAGUAGGGUUCGGAACCUCCGGGCGAAAUUCCUGAGUGUUUCGCUCCGGUCCAUCUGUAGGGAGAACAAGACUUCAGCUCCUUUCUUGGUCUAAACAUUGAACCGAUACUUCUCUUCGAACAACUCAGCCAGUUGUACGAAUGUGCGGACGGAUGCGGGUGGUAGAUUGUGAUACCACGUCUGUGCCUCGCCUUUGAGUGAAGCAGCAAACAUUUUCGCUAGUAGCUUAUCAUCAUGGUCCCAGAUGACCAUGGUGUUUUUGUAGUUCAUAACAUGCUGAACCGGACAACAGUUUGUCUCGUCAUACUGUUCGAAGGGCGGUUGCUUGAAGCUGGCCGGGACCAUAUGACUCCUGACCUCUUCUGCUAAAGGUGAUACGGCUAACCAUGAAAGAUUAAGCUUUCUGACUCGCUCCUCCCAGUUGGCUUUGUUGGAUACAGCAAGAUCGAUCAUCUCUUGCAGCUUGAGUUGAUUCAUCUGUUCCACAUUUAGCUCUGGUUGUCUCUGAUGAAUGUGGACCAUUUGAGGGUUCUUUGUUCUCUGACCGUGGGAUGCCGGGAGAGUACUCUAGUGCCUCCUCCGGCACAGUCUCCCUGGAGGAGUGGCUUCUUCGAUAGAUCUGCUGCGGGCAAUCCUGCGGCCAUCACCCGGCCCGGGUGUUCUUGCGCGUCCGCGGCGAUGUCUCUGAACUGGAGAGAUAGACAUCAUAUCUCUCCCUGGUGCUAGCCUGUCCCAGACAGGACGGAGACCAUGGCUAUGAGGGGUAAGACUUUGAUCACUGCUUGACCGUGGCCUUAUCUUCUUCUGAGGAGAUGAUCUUGAAGACAGGGCUGAAGAUGACUGGCUAUCUCUGGCCCUGGUUCUCUUCUUUCUCCUUAAUUCUGCAUUUUCCCUAGUCAGCCGUUUGAUGAUUACAGUUGGGGACUCGACCGCUGGUCCUUUUCACUGCUGCUGCUCAGUAUAACCUCAUCCCGUUGUCAGGGGAGAGAUUCUCUGGACUCUUCUUGUAGCGGCUGCCCUGGAAGGUUCAGGAUCUUGUGGAGUUGGUAUCCUGACGGUCCGGUUGACCGCAUCAGGAUCGCCAGGAUUGUUAGUGAUUUCCACCACUAAGUUUUCUGCCUCCGGCUGUCUACUUUUAGAGUGUUGCGAGCCCUGAUCGUGGUCCUCACUCUCGAGAACUGAUUCUUGAUUCACCGGUUCUAUUGCUUCGAGAACCGGAGACAGAUGAGAAAGGUUCUAUGUCUGACUUUCAGUAACUUGACUCAUUCCAUUGUUGGAACGAGUUGGGCGUCUCUUACUUCCAGCCAUUGCUGCAGUAACUCCGGUAUGACUGGAAUGAGAUUUCUUGCAAGGCUCUAGAACUGAUGGGAUAUUCAGCCCCACGGUGGGUGCCAAAGAGUGUGGGUGCAAAAAUUUGAUCCACGAACUUGAGAUAUGUAUAUAUUGAUCGUACAGUUACAAUGAAAGCCUUGUGUAGACAGGGAUAGGAUGGGGGGUAUACAGUAAGACUGGACCUGAUCGGGAUCAAACUGCCUACGUAUCCAAGAUGAUGAACUUGGAAUCAAGUCUCUGCUUCCACUAAGCUCUAAUGGAGUUGCUCAGUGAAAGACUCGUAGUUCAGGAGGUUAAGAACUCGAGUAUUUGUAGUAGGUCGAAAGAGGCUGGCUCAACCACCCCUUCGAUUUUAACUCCACGAACUCGGGUUGUUCAACUGUGAAGAUGUUUUCCGUGGAGAUAGCUUGCAUGCUGCCGAGCGGUUAUCUCCUUGGUUUGAAUCCCCUUUGACCAGGAUGACUGCCAUGUGGCAUCCUCUGAUAGGUCCUGGUUCAACCUGGGUUUCCUUUAUCUUCUCCAGCGGGCUAGAACCAUGGGUUCUGUUGGCCUGGAAUCUUGCUGGACUUAUCCAGUUGGUUGGGGCUUGGAUUGACCAAGCCUGAAAGCAAAGACUUGGGCUUGACUCCUCUGACCGGAGGCCCAAUCUACACUGCAUACUCCCUGGCCAGGUCCUCUGGACUUCUGUGCUAAGCCUUUGGAUGAGCCCCUGUCGCUGUUGGACCUUACUGGGCCGGACCUGGCCUACUUGACUGAGGUGGGUCUGGUCGAUGUAUGGGAGCCUACGGUUCAACUUCUUAUACAGCAACCGGGGCUCCACCCAUUGAUACUGGACUAUCCGGUGAGUCAAUGUCCACAGAGCGUAUGCGGAUCUCUUGAAACCGGGUUGGGCCCUACCCGAUAGCCCAGGCUUGGCUGGCUACUGCUCAGGUGCUCCCGGUUUAGCUUCUUAUACAGCCAUCGGUGACACCUGUCGGGUUUUUUACCUAGGGUACACACAGUCACCAAUCAGGGUCCCAUCAUCCAAAUACCAUGCCUGCAGCUUCAAGUGACACUCAGAUUGGAUGCGCAAUACUAGUGGAUGCAAGACUAAGGCAAAAAGAAGAGGCCCUAACGGAUCCCCCUAUUGAAUCCCGGUUGUUGACCAAAUAUAUGUGGACCCCAAAUAUAAUCUCGCAGACUGACUAUAUAGAUAUUCAACCGAUGGUGCAAUGCUGGGGCAAUGAAUGCGUACCUCUCUUAGCAUAAUCGUGCGAUCAACAAGAUUGAAAGCAUUUUGGAAAUCCACCAGCAACAUAGAAAGGGAUGUGUUAUCCUGAUUUGCAUGAAAAAACUGGCUGUACUGCCUCUGCCCCACCAGGGACACCGACGCCAAACUAAAAGUCAUUGAGGUAUGAGACCAUGUCUUGGGCAACUCCUUUCAUGGCUAUCUCGGAGACUAGACGUCGGCAUACCAUGCCCACUGCUACUGGGCGGACUCCAUUACCAGGCUUGAGGACAGGAGUAAGGGGUGCACUUGCAAUAAAUUUUGCUAAUACAAGUGGGCAUCAACUUUGCAACCAGUAGUUCACAACAAGAGUCAGUAGUUCACAAUAAAUUUUCUAACGGAUCUGUAAGAAAAUUGACUGGAGCCUCUUUCUUAACCUGUAUUUUUGUUCGCCAUACCACAUCAUACAAUAUAUCACACACAUGAGCGUGUCUGUAUUUAAAAUCGGGGUAAUAAUUACAGUGUACAGCAUGGUCCCCAAAGGUGUCCAGUCGGCUCUUCUUACAUACAGGACAUAAAUCCCCAUCCGUAAAUAACGGGAUCAUGAGACGGUACCGGAGAAUGGCACGGUACUCCACUGCCGUCAUGCGUUGUCCCAACCCUUAUAUACGAAUAGCAAUAAGAAAGUCUUUGGCAUGUUUGGUAUGUAAGCAUUCUAUCACAUCCCUUUGACGAGCAGACAAAUCAAAAUCCCUGUCAAUAUCAGUAGGAAUCUUCAUGUAGUAAGUUUCUGCCAGUGUGUGUUGGGCUUUAGGGGGCGGUAGCCCUUAAGGCUAGAAUACUAAGGUCGAAAUCAGGGAAAGAAAGUUGUAGCUCAGCAACUGCACUAUCAAAAGCAUCAUCCAUGUGUGCAGUACCACACCCUCGGAGUAUGUUGUCUUGGAGCUCCCGAGUUUGGCAUCGAGAGGCUGCGAAGGCAAACUUACUGACAUUUGUGGCACAAUAAAUGUCAAGACCACCUAGACGUAACGCCAUUGUUGUUACGCGCCACUGAAGGUCACCAAACCCCGGACCAUCAAAACUAUGAUACCCUGAAGGGCUGCCCGAAGGGUGGGUUCAAAAUAUUCUGCUGCUUCUUGAACAAAAGUUGGUUGGCAAGUGCAAAGAGCGAAGAUAAGUUUAGGUAAUCCCAUACAUGCUCGUAGUAGUGUUAGCUCACAUUGUGGGUCUUUUAAUUAUGCCAAUAGGCUCAUUAGCUUGGCUGUUUUCUCAACUCGUUGUCGAACAAGGCCCACAAUGAAUGAUGCAUCAGUACUAACUGCCCCUCCAAGCAACUUGACUCCACGUUGAGGACAUGAUAUACUUGGUAGAAACAGACCAGUACUAAAGCAACGAGGAUCAACUAAUGGCCAAAAAACCUCUGUCUUAUUCACAUUAAGAAUGAGCCCCAAUGACGGUCCAACUGCCUGAAUGAUAUAUAUGGCAACGGCCACUUGAUCAGUGUCACCAAUCAGGGUCCCAUCAUCCAAAUACCACGCCUGCAACUUCAAGUAACACUCAGAUUGGAUACACAGUACUAGUAGAUGCAAGAUUAAGGCAAAAAAAAAAGAGGCUCUAACGGAUCUCCUUGUCGAAUCCCCGUUGCUGACCAAAUGUAGGUGGACCCUAGAUAUAAUCUCGUAGACUGGCUAUAUAGAUAUUCAACCCAUGGUACAAUACUGGGACAAUGAAUGCGUACCUCUUUUAGCAUAGUCGUGCGAUCAACAAGAUUGAAAGCAUUUAGGAAAUCCACCAGCAACAUAAAAGGGGAUGUGUUAUCCUGAUUUGCAUGAACAAACCGGCUAACUACAUGCAGUAUUGUCUUUGCCUCACCAGGCAGACCAACGCCAAACUGAAAGUCAUUGAGGUAUGAGACCAUCUCUUGGACAACUCGUUUUAUGACAAUCUUGGAUACUAGACGUCACCAUACCAUGCCCACUGCUAUUGGGCUUGAGGAGAGGAGUAAGAGGUGGACUUGCAAUAAAUUAUGCUAAUACAGGUGGGCAUCGACCUUGCAGCCAGUAGUUCACAAAAAGAGUCAAAGCAUCCAAAAGAUUUGUACUUACAGUAGAGGUUGCACCGCUCAUAAGAUCUAACAGAUGUUGGGCACGAAGUCCAUCACGCCCACAUGAUGUACCCUUAGGAAAGAACCUAAUGCAUGCCAAUAUUGUAUCCCUCCCUACAGUCAAAAGUGGCUCAGACAAUGGAGUAUCUAGUAUGGACGAUGGUGGGCUCAUCGGGUGUUUUUCAUCUAAUGUCUGCCGUGUCUCUGAAGUGUUUAGUGCUACCCCCUACAGAUGCCAACACUUUAACCGCAACUGUAAAAUGUUCAUCUGCAACCUUUUGCAAACAACGCCUUACAUUUUGUUUACGAGAUGGCUGGGUUGGUAAUGUAGAAUGAAGACCCUGUACCAAAUCUAAGAGACGAAAGAUACCACCCGGCUCAUUCCAAACUAUUAGGGCAUACAUGAUAUGUUUCUAUUGCAGACUCUUCUGAAUGCCAGACCGUCGCUUGACGCGAUUCUGUGGUUCAAACACUUGCAAGGUGCAACAAGGAAGCAGAAGAAGUCGAACCCAUGUUGCUACAGACCCCACGUCUACUGAGAUUCUAUACAAUACCCUUUCAAUGCACACAAGAAUGCUAGACCACGUGGUCGUGGGAUAUUCUUCAUUAUGCAAAAGGGUGUGCGAAAAAUGAAUCCAAUGGUACCUCAUCCAGAGACCAAGGGGCACUAGGAGGGUUAGAAUCUGCAGUAGAAACUCCAAGUUGUGUGGGUGUUGACUCAGGUAAUGCUAAUGGAUGGGGUAUACCUCGGAUCACGCUUUUAGGCUCUCCAUUUUCCAAUUUGGGCAAUGAAAGAACCGUGUCAUCCGGGUGAUGACAAUCCUUGUUCCGUGUAUGGACACUAAAGUAGUAACCACAUAUCCACUGCCCCACCAUGAUUCACUAAAGCAGGCUCUCCAUUUUUUAUUUUUUAUUUUUUUUUGUUGUCAUCAUGAUUCACUAAAUUUCAACGCAUUGUUGAAAUUUCAUCCAACUCACAUAAACCCAAAAUUUUACCAAUGCGUGUCAUCACAAUCUGCACGAUCUCAUUGUGUGUAUUUUUAAAGUGCAUAUUCUCAUGAAUGCAUCUAUGACAAUUAAAAGAAACCAUAUAGGCUCAGUAACAUAGAAAAUGGUUGAUGCCUUUGUGUGUGGAAAAACCAAGGAUCUUAUGGGCAAACAGUAUAAAAUUGUUAACCAUCAAGAUACAGCUCUGAAUCAAUGUCAAUCAAAUAAAAUUUAAAUUAAGGCAUUAAGCAUGCAUUUUUUUCUUUUAUGCAAGUAAUCGUGAAACCAUUGUACAAAUAAAUAAUUUAAAAUUUUAAUAAAUCGAUCUCUUUCUAGAAAAAACAAAUGAAUAAAUGAAUGUAUUGACAAUUGAUAACAUGAAUACAUCUCUCGAGAAUUUCUUCAAACAUAAUAUGUGCUUGAAAAAGUUUACCUGUUUCUGCACUCUUAAAUUCUAAUAAGUCAACCCAAAUCAUCAAUCAAGCAUCUCUUCAACCACAUAGAAUCUACAUAGAUUUCCAUAAAAUUAUAAAAAUCAAAAGCAUAGAAAAUGGUGGAAAAAACUAACCUCAAAGAAAUUGAAGAGAUUGUACAGAUCGUGAGAACAACACAAUAUACUGAAAAUUGUUCCACGCUUACUCAAAGGAGACAAAAAUGAUAGAGAAUGAAUAAUGCACUCCUUCAGACUUAGGAGGAAAAAUUAAAAUUGAGAAAAAGAGUCGGGUUGCUUAAGAGAAACGGUUGAACGAAGAGAA